Molecule: ribosomal RNA, 726 nt
Filed under: Nematoda environmental sample
Lineage: Eukaryota; Metazoa; Nematoda
Description: SSU rRNA
Rfam family: Eukaryotic small subunit ribosomal RNA
Source: RNAcentral
UCGCAAAUUACCCACUCUCAAUUCGAGGAGGUAGUGACAACAACUAACGAGACUGCUCCCUUUGGGAACAGUCAUCGAAAUGGGUACAAUUUAAACCCUUUAACGAGGAUCAAUGAGAGGGCAAGUCUGGUGCCAGCAGCCGCGGUAAUUCCAGCUCUCAAAGUGUAUGUCAUUAUUGCUGCGGUUAAAAAGCUCGUAGUUGGAUCUGAGCCUUUGGCGACAGUUCGUUUUCAUGCGAUACUGUGGCCGGGGUUAAUUUUGUCGGUUCGCCGGCAAGAGUUACUCUGAAUAAAUCAGAGUGCUCAAAACAAGCGUUUCGCUUGAAUGUUUUUGCAUGGAAUAAUGGAAAAGGACUUCGGUUCCUUACUGUUGGUUUCGGAAUUGGAUUAAUGAUUAAGAGGGACCAACGGGGGCAUGCGUACCGCUACGCGAGAGGUGAAAUUCAUGGACCGUAGCGUGACGACCUAAAGCGAAAGCAUUUGCCAAGAAUGUCUUCAUUAAUCAAGAACGAAAGUCAGAGGUUCGAAGGCGAUUAGAUACCGCCGUAGUUCUGACCGUAAACGAUACCAUCUAGCGAUCCGGUGGUGGUAUUACCGCCUCGCCGGGGAGCUUCCCGGAAACGAAAGACUUCCGGUUCCGGGGGUAGUAUGGUUGCAAAGCUGAACUUAAAGGAAUUGACGGAAUCGCACCACCAGGGAGUGGAGCCUGCGGGCUUAAAUUUGACUA